This 1993-nucleotide long non-coding RNA is filed under the name Homo sapiens (human). Its description in RNAcentral is "HSALNT0030661". The record is from RNAcentral. Lineage: Eukaryota; Metazoa; Chordata; Mammalia; Primates; Hominidae.
GCUGUUCUCCAGACCCAGCUGUGCCUCUAUGCCCCUCCCCUUCUCAGUGCUACAGGCCCUGCUUACAGACUGGAGCCAGGUGCUCAGAUUCGGUAAAGUACCCAUGCCCUGUUCAAUCAAUUCUGCAGGCCCAGCUAGUCAACACACACUUCUACACAUUCUGUGCAGCGGGAGUAUAUUUGAACAAGACUCGGAUAUCCAUGGGAGUGAUGGCAUCUUCUAGUCCUGUCCAUGUUGAAUACAUAAGGUUCAGGAGUCCACGCUUUUACCUCCAAGACUCAUGCGGACCUAAGGACUGGUGCUGAACCCUGGGCAGAGUUAGGAACCCUUCUAAUGCAACUAGAAUCUUUAAGAAAACAAAGGACUGAUUGCAUGUCUGCUGAAAGAUGCUUUCAGAGUUCUUGGCUGCGUGAGGGUUUCAUCAUUUUGCCCAUCAGUGUGGUUUAAAGGAGACCACUUAAUCCCAAGAGCAGUGUUUUCCAAAGCAUAUCCCAUUGUACACUGGUCUUGUAAAAUGAGAAAGUAAAGAUGAUUGUGUAGUCAAAAAGUUUAUGAAACACUGGAUACUAGAUCCUCAUCUGGGGAGAUUCACAGUGCACUUUGCAUAUUAGAGGGCCUGAGAAGUCCUGCAAUAAAGAAAUUUGUUUAACUCAGUGUGAUCUAAACAUGUUUCACAAAAGAAUCAUUUUUUGGUGACAGCGAUGGGUAUCCCUUGAUAGCAGUGUUACAUUGAGUGCCUUUGGGGAAAGCUGCCUUUAGAAAUGUGUGUGUGUGUGUGUGUGUGUGUGUGUGUGUGUGUGUGUGUGUGUGUGUCCCUUACCUGCAGAGCUUCCUGAGGCUUGGUCUAGGGGGAGGAACACUUCUCUACCUUCUGCCUCCCUGUCUUCCAGUUCCCAAGUCUUAAGCUGGCCAACACACCUGCCCAGGUACAGGUGUUCUUCCUUUCUCUGCUGGCUCUUUUUUCUCUGUCCCAGCCCAGGAUGUUGGAGGGAGGAAGAGGAAAUGUCAGCUUCAACUUCAACCAACUGGCCCAUUGCUCACCCACCUGUAGUUUGGCCCACAGUCUGAUUUAAUAUCCACUGUUUCUUGUUUUUAAAGAAUGAGACUGAAAAAUUACUCUUUACUCUUCUUCCCAAACUGUUCUCCAAGUUUUCUUCUCCCAGGAAGCCUCACCUGUGAGCAUGCACUGUUGGUUUAGGGCAGUGGUUGUCAAAUUUUGGUCCCUGGAUCAGCAGCGAAGCAACAGCAUCACCUAGGAACUUGCUAGAAUUGCAAAUUCUCAGACUCCCACUGAAUUAGACACUCUAGAGGUAGAGCCCAGCAAUUUUUGUUUUAACAAGCCCUCCAGGUGAUUCUGACGCAAACCAUUAGCCUAGGGUGUUGGAAAUCUCUUUCACUGAGCAGGUUCUAUUUUACCUCAUUCGUUUUCUGCAUAUGUUUUUAUUUAUACCACACCAAAUUCCGAAAAGGAUGAGGACAACCAAUACUGAAAUACUUAGGUGCUAGCACAAUUAAAACAAGUGUACAAACACUCUUCCUCCCAAUAACUGUCUGGCUCACUCCCUCACCUCCUCCAGGUCUCAGACAGGCCCUCCUUGAUCAUUUCCGAAAUGUCAAUCUCCUCUCACUGCCCUCCUACUCCCUAUCCUCCUCUACUUUAUCUUUCUCCUUAGCAUUGAUUAUUAUGUAAUAUCUAUACAAUUUAUACGUUUUUAUUUUUUCUCUCCUCCCUUGAAUAUAAGCUCCAUGGGGCAGGGCUUUUCAUCUAUUUUGUUCCCUACUUCAUCCCCAGCACUAGAAUGCUUCCUGCUUCAAUAAACAUUUGUUCAGUAGACAACCCUUAUCAUAAGGAGGCAGGAGAGGUCUGCUGUGGUGAUGAAACAGAAUUUUACUCUGAGCUUGCUAGCAGUCAAAGAGUUACAAAGAUCUCUUUAUCAAAUAACAGGAAAUCAGAAAGUCCUUUUGGGAAAGACAGAAUCAGCCCAGACCCCCA